Long non-coding RNA from Panicum virgatum (switchgrass), 811 nucleotides. RefSeq lists it as uncharacterized. The record is from RefSeq and is a predicted model, not a curated record. NCBI's taxonomy places the organism in Eukaryota, Viridiplantae, Streptophyta, Magnoliopsida, Poales, Poaceae. The transcript is spliced from 2 exons.
GGACCCGGAUCGGAUGCAGUCAUAGCUACGACUGCAACUUAAGCGGUCCGCCGUCGGCUGCACGGCCUGCACCGAGGACUGCGCCGCGCUGUGGGAGGACGAGAAGGAGGACGUCGCGAACAUGGCGGGCAAGAUGAAAAAGGCCAAACACCACCGGCGAAGGGUGAAGGCCGCAGUGGCCAUGAUGUGGAGCUGCUCGAGAUUUAUAGCUAAAAUGAACGCCAAGAGUAGUCUCGCUGGGUACGACUCCAGGAGCACCCACAUCAUAUAUCUUCUGAGCAAACGAAGAGGAUGAGAAUGGCUUGGUGAUCCGAUGGAUUUGAACAGCCAAUCAAAUGAACCGCAGCUGCCUAGCAAUAUCUGCUACUGAAAGUAGGCCCUGGAGUGCAAGCUGCUGCUGUGUAGCUGCAGCUCUGCAGAAAAAUCACUGCCUAUUCCAGUGAUGUUUCUUGGUUUCUUCUUCUUUUUCUGAUUUAAGUCGAUAGAGAAACAAGUUAGAAUUGGUUGAUUUUCAAUUUCAUUCAUAAAGUUGUAGUACAUAAGUAGAGAGUUUUGGCCAAACUCAUACACCCGCUCUCUUAGCUGUGGAGUAUGGUCAAGGUAGUGCAAACUUGGACUCUUAGAAUGAUUUCGUUUUGUUUGUAUGGAACGAGGGAGGCAAAUCGUUGCGGGCUGUAUGCAGUGGACGGAGGUGGAAGAAGAGUCUGGAGAGGGACUGUCAAUCUGGAGCAUUGGUUGGUUGCUGGAUGGUAGAUGUUGGUGGUACUGCUUAAGUUGCAGUCACAGUUAUAACUGCACCCGAUCCUGGUCC